UGAAAUCUGGCCCCCGGGUCCGAGUUGUAAUUUGUAGAGGAUGCUUUUGGUGCGGUACCUUCCGAGUUCCCUGGAACGGGACGCCAUAGAGGGUGAGAGCCCCGUCUGGUUGGACGCCAAACCUUUGUAAAGCUCCUUCGACGAGUCGAGUAGUUUGGGAAUGCUGCUCUAAAUGGGAGGUAUAUGUCUUCUAAAGCUAAAUAUUGGCCAGAGACCGAUAGCGCACAAGUAGAGUGAUCGAAAGAUGAAAAGCACUUUGAAAAGAGAGUUAAAAAGUACGUGAAAUUGUUGAAAGGGAAGCGCUCAUGACCAGACUUGGGCCCGGUUCAUCAUCCAGGGUUCUCCCUGGUGCACUCUUCCGGCCCAGGCCAGCAUCAGUUCGCUGUGGGGGAUAAAGGCUUCGGGAAUGUGGCUCCCUCGGGAGUGUUAUAGCCCGUCGUGUAAUACCCUGCGGCGGACUGAGGUUCGCGCAUUCGCAAGGAU
This 483-nucleotide ribosomal RNA is filed under the name Neonectria coccinea. RNAcentral describes it as "eukaryotic LSU rRNA". It matches the Rfam family "Eukaryotic large subunit ribosomal RNA", at positions 116 to 624 of the family's 3401-position model. The record is from RNAcentral. Lineage: Eukaryota; Fungi; Ascomycota; Sordariomycetes; Hypocreales; Nectriaceae.